This 424-nucleotide ribosomal RNA is filed under the name uncultured Bacteroidales bacterium. RNAcentral describes it as "bacterial SSU rRNA". It matches the Rfam family "Bacterial small subunit ribosomal RNA", at positions 355 to 776 of the family's 1533-position model. The record is from RNAcentral. Lineage: Bacteria; Pseudomonadati; Bacteroidota; Bacteroidia; Bacteroidales. RNAcentral also lists the same sequence under 1 other name.
UGAGGAAUAUUGGUCAAUGGGCGCAAGCCUGAACCAGCCAUCCCGCGUGCAGGAAGACGGCCCUAUGGGUUGUAAACUGCUUUUCCAGGGGGUGAAUUAAUCCGACGUGUCGGGUUUUGACGGUACCCUGGGAAUAAGCAUCGGCUAACUCCGUGCCAGCAGCCGCGGUAAUACGGAGGAUGCGAGCGUUAUCCGGAUUUAUUGGGUUUAAAGGGUGCGUAGGCGGACAAAUAAGUCAGUGGUGAAAACCUGCAGCUUAACUGUAGACUUGCCGUUGAUACUGUUAGUCUUGAGUAUGGUCAAGGUAGGCGGAAUGUGUAAUGUAGCGGUGAAAUGCUUAGAUAUUACACAGAACACCGAUUGCGAAGGCAGCUUGCUGGGCCAUUACUGACGCUGAUGCACGAAAGCGUGGGGAUCGAACAGG